GAUGAACGCUGGCGGCGUGCCUAAUACAUGCAAGUCGAGCGAACGGACGAGAAGCUUGCUUCUCUGAUGUUAGCGGCGGACGGGUGAGUAACACGUGGAUAACCUACCUAUAAGACUGGGAUAACUUCGGGAAACCGGAGCUAAUACCGGAUAAUAUUUUGAACCGCAUGGUUCAAAAGUGAAAGACGGUCUUGCUGUCACUUAUAGAUGGAUCCGCGCUGCAGUAGCUAGUUGGUAAGGUAACGGCUUACCAAGGCAACGAUGCAUAGCCGACCUGAGAGGGUGAUCGGCCACACUGGAACUGAGACACGGUCCAGACGCCUACGGGAGGCAGCAGUAGGGAAUCUUCCGCAAUGGGCGAAAGCCUGACGGAGCAACGCCGCGUGAGUGAUGAAGGUCUUCGGAUCGUAAAACUCUGUUAUUAGGGAAGAACAUAUGUGUAAGUAACUGUGCACAUCUUGACGGUACCUAAUCAGAAAGCCACGGCUAACUACGUG
RNAcentral lists this ribosomal RNA (497 nucleotides) under uncultured bacterium. Its description in RNAcentral is "partial 16S ribosomal RNA". It matches the Rfam family "Bacterial small subunit ribosomal RNA", at positions 28 to 507 of the family's 1533-position model. The record is from RNAcentral.